This 503-nucleotide ribosomal RNA is filed under the name uncultured bacterium. RNAcentral's name for it is "partial 16S ribosomal RNA". It matches the Rfam family "Bacterial small subunit ribosomal RNA", at positions 30 to 523 of the family's 1533-position model. The record is from RNAcentral.
AUUGAACGCUGGCGGCAGGCUUAACACAUGCAAGUCGAGCGGGGUGAUGGUGCUUGCACUAUCACUUAGCGGCGGACGGGUGAGUAAUGCUUAGGAAUCUGCCUAUUAGUGGGGGACAACAUCUCGAAAGGGAUGCUAAUACCGCAUACGUCCUACGGGAGAAAGCAGGGGAUCACUUGUGACCUUGCGCUAAUAGAUGAGCCUAAGUCGGAUUAGCUAGUUGGUGGGGGAAAGGCCUCCCAAGGCGACGAUCUGUAGCGGGUCGGAGAGGAUGAUCCGCCGCACUGGGACUAAAACAAGGCCCAGACUCCUACGGGGGGCAGCAGUGGGGAAUAUUGGACAAUGGGGGGAACCCUGAUCCAGCCAUGCCGCGUGUGUGAAGAAGGCCUUAUGGUUGUAAAGCACUUUAAGCGAGGAGGAAGCUCUUUUGGUUAAUACCCAAGAUGAGUGGACGUUACUCGCAGAAUAAGCACCGGCUAACUCUGUGCCAGCAGCCGCAGUAA